Long non-coding RNA from Cervus elaphus (red deer), 166 nucleotides. RefSeq lists it as uncharacterized. The record is from RefSeq and is a predicted model, not a curated record. Lineage: Eukaryota; Metazoa; Chordata; Mammalia; Artiodactyla; Cervidae. The transcript has 3 exons.
CAUUACCAAUUCCUGGAGUCCACUCAAACUCAUGUCCACUGACUCAGUGAUGGCAUCCAACAAUCUUGUCCACUGUCAUCCCCUUCUCCUCCUGCCUUCAAUCUUUCCCAACAUCAGGGUUUUUCCAGUGAGUCAGUUCUUUGCAUCAGGUGGACAAACUAUUGGA